Molecule: ribosomal RNA, 301 nt
Filed under: uncultured bacterium
Lineage: Bacteria
Description: partial 16S ribosomal RNA
Rfam family: Bacterial small subunit ribosomal RNA
Source: RNAcentral
CAGCCGCCACGGGAAUACGAAGGGGGCUAGCGUUGUUCGGAAUUACUGGGCGUAAAGCGCACGUAGGCGGAUAUUUAAGUCAGGGGUGAAAUCCCAGAGCUCAACUCUGGAACUGCCUUUGAUACUGGGUAUCUUGAGUAUGGAAGAGGUGAGUGGAAUUCCGAGUGUAGAGGUGAAAUUCGUAGAUAUUCGGAGGAACACCAGUGGCGAAGGCGGCUCACUGGUCCAUUACUGACGCUGAGGUGCGAAAGCGUGGGGAGCAAACAGGAUUAGAUACCCCCGUAGUCCCUGUCUCUUAUAC